Molecule: small nucleolar RNA, 191 nt
Filed under: Carlito syrichta (Philippine tarsier)
Lineage: Eukaryota; Metazoa; Chordata; Mammalia; Primates; Tarsiidae
Description: Small nucleolar RNA U3 (ENSTSYG00000036945.1)
Rfam family: Small nucleolar RNA U3 (bases 50-191)
About the family: Small nucleolar RNAs (snoRNAs) are involved in the processing and modification of rRNA in the nucleolus. There are two main classes of snoRNAs: the box C/D class, and the box H/ACA class.
Source: Rfam by way of RNAcentral
CAGUCUGGGUGACAGAGUGAGACUUCAAAUCAAAAAAAAAAAAAAGAAAACCCCAAACCGUAGGCAUAGAGUUCCCUCCUGAGCAUGAAGCUGGUUCUUGGUGUUGCUUCUCUGCAACAACCGCUUGCCAUUGAAAUCGUUCUUGCUUUCCUUUUUGGGGAGCAAGAGGGAGAGUAUGCAGUCUGUAUGGU